RNAcentral lists this ribosomal RNA (611 nucleotides) under Klebsiella pneumoniae. Its description in RNAcentral is "bacterial SSU rRNA". It matches the Rfam family "Bacterial small subunit ribosomal RNA", at positions 159 to 763 of the family's 1533-position model. Lineage: Bacteria; Pseudomonadati; Pseudomonadota; Gammaproteobacteria; Enterobacterales; Enterobacteriaceae. The record is from RNAcentral.
GUAGCUAAUACCGCAUAACGUCGCAAGACCAAAGUGGGGGACCUUCGGGCCUCAUGCCAUCAGAUGUGCCCAGAUGGGAUUAGCUAGUAGGUGGGGUAACGGCUCACCUAGGCGACGAUCCCUAGCUGGUCUGAGAGGAUGACCAGCCACACUGGAACUGAGACACGAUCCAAACUUAUACGGGAGGCAGCAGUGGGGAAUAUUGCACAAUGGGCGCAAGCCUGAUGCAGCCAUGCCGCGUGUGUGAAGAAGGCCUUCGGGUUGUAAAGCACUUUCAGCGGGGAGGAAGGCGAUGAGGUUAAUAACCUUGUCGAUUGACCUUACCCGCAGAAGAAGCACCGGCUAACUCCGUGCCAUCAGCCGCGGUAAUACGGAGGGUGCAAGCGUUAAUCGGAAUUACUGGGCGUAAAGCGCACGCAGGCGGUCUGUCAAGUCGGAUGUCAAAUCCCCGGGCUCAACCUGGGAACUGCAUUCGAAACUGGGAGGCUAGAGUCUUGUAGAGGGGGGUAGAAUUCCAGGUGUAGCGGUGAAAUGCGUAGAAGAUCUGGAGGAAUACCGGUGGCGAAGGCGGCCCCCUGGACAAAGACUGACUGCUCAGGUGCGAAAGCGUG